Gadus morhua (Atlantic cod) is the source of this 1776-nucleotide long non-coding RNA. The record is from Ensembl. Lineage: Eukaryota; Metazoa; Chordata; Actinopteri; Gadiformes; Gadidae.
UGACAGUGCUGCACUGUUCAACAUAAACAAUUGUAAUAGUACUGUAGUCUUGCUGUAUUCAACUAAUUUCUUUGCAUAUGUUUUCAUUUACUUAUCUCUUAUUUUAUUUUAUUGUAUGACAAUGUUUAUAUGUGAAGCAAUUUGAGUCUGCCUUGUGUAUGAAACGUGCUAUAUAAAUAAAGUUGCCUUGCCGUAUGUAAUGUGUGUGUGUGUGUGUGUGUGUGUGUGUGUGUGUGUGUGUGUGUGUGUGUGUGUGUGUGUGUGUGUGUGUGUGUGUGUGUGUGUGUUCUGUUAUGGUGCAGACCGUAGCCUCGCUAUGUUAGCCUCCCCUGCUCCCUGUGUAGCUCGGCGAGCCGGUCGUGCCAGUGCUCCACGCUCAGUAGACAGCCAGCCAGACAUCCAGCCGGCCAGGAAGAUACUAUCCGAGGUAUAGCCCAAUGCUUUCAGCCGGGGCUCGCCUGUCCCCCCUGUACAUUUACAAACAACUCCUUCCUCCUGUCUGCGGAGGGAGAGACACAGAGAGCCAGAGAGAAAGAGAGAGAAAUAGUUUCUGUGUGUGUGUGUGUGGGGUGGAGAGGAAAAAAGGAGUUGAAGAGAGCAAGAGGGCGGGCCGCCUUUGACCUUCGUAGCUGUGUCAAUUUUCACAUAAGGAACAAAGGAGAAGCCAGGAGAAUCCAUCAGCGUGCUGCGGGUGCUGGACUGGAUGCCUGGACUCUCCUCAUGGAUAACCGGCCAGAACCCCAUCACCAUUUUAAUGAUGUACAUGUAUUUACCUGUAUGCCAAUUGUGGCACCCAUUGCACUCCUGACCAUCCCUGGAAGAAGGGAUCCCCUACACUGCGUUUCUUCUCAAGAUUUCUUCCUUGCUGAUUCAAGGGAGUUUUUUCUUGCCCGUGUGGGGGCAUGGGUAAAGGGGGGUGUCACAAAUAUUUGGCCUGUUAAAGCCCUUUGAGACUGUAAUGGUGAUUAAGGGCUAUAUAAAUAAAAUUGAAUUGAAUUGAAUUGAAUUGAAUUGAAUUGAAUUGAAUAACAAUCUGAUGAAUGGCAGAUGAUUUACAAUGUUGGGGGGUUGGGGGGGAAGGGUAACGUUCCCGCCGGCGGGACACUGCAGACCGCGUGUUUUUAAAAUGUGGGAUUUCUAUUUCACAAUCAUAUAUUUUCCUUUAAAAUUCUGACUCUUACUUAAAAUGUUUCAUCCUAAGCAUAUUUUAAAUUCAUUAAGCAAAUGAAAGUUGAGGAAAAACCCAGCAAGCAGAAAAAUGUUGGAUUUCAAAUAAGGUAUUCAGUUAUUAAUAAAAUACACUAUAAAUAGCAUCAAUACAUCAGAUCUCAUCUCAUGUCAUCGUCAUCCGCUUAUCCGGGGUCGGGUCGCGGGGGGAGCAGCUCAAGCAGGGGGCCCCAGACUUCCCUUUCCCGGGCCACAUUGACCAGCUCUGACGGGGGAAAUUCCCGAGGCGUUCCCAGGCCAGUGUUGAGAUAUAAUCUCUCCACCUAGUCCUGGGUCUUCCCCGAGGUCUCCUCCCCACUGGACGUGCCUGAAACACCUCCCAAGGGAGGCGCCCAGUGGGCAUCCUUGCCAGAUGCCCGAACCACCUCAGCUGACUCCUUUCUAAGUAAAGGAGCAGCGGCUCUAAUCCGAGUAAAACUCAUCUCGGCCGCUUGUACCCGCGAUCUCGUCCUUUCAGUCAUCACCCAACCCUCAUGACCAUAGGUGAGGAUAGGAACGAAGAUCGACCGGUAGGUCGAGAGCUUUGCCUUGCGGCUCAGCUCUCUUUUC